UAGCUGGUCUGAGAGGAUGACCAGCCACACUGGAACUGAGACACGGUCCAGACUCCUACGGGAGGCAGCAGUGGGGAAUAUUGCACAAUGGGCGCAAGCCUGAUGCAGCCAUGCCGCGUGUAUGAAGAAGGCCUUCGGGUUGUAAAGUACUUUCAGCGGGGAGGAAGGGAGUAAAGUUAAUACCUUUGCUCAUUGACGUUACCCGCAGAAGAAGCACCGGCUAACUCCGUGCCAGCAGCCGCGGUAAUACGGAGGGUGCAAGCGUUAAUCGGAAUUACUGGGCGUAAAGCGCACGCAGGCGGUUUGUUAAGUCAGAUGUGAAAUCCCCGGGCUCAACCUGGGAACUGCAUCUGAUACUGGCAAGCUUGAGUCUCGUAGAGGGGGGUAGAAUUCCAGGUGUAGCGGUGAAAUGCGUAGAGAUCUGGAGGAAUACCGGUGGCGAAGGCGGCCCCCUGGACGAAGACUGACGCUCAGGUGCGAAAGCGUGGGGAGCAAACAGGAUU
This 503-nucleotide ribosomal RNA is filed under the name Escherichia coli. Its description in RNAcentral is "bacterial SSU rRNA". It matches the Rfam family "Bacterial small subunit ribosomal RNA", at positions 284 to 779 of the family's 1533-position model. Lineage: Bacteria; Pseudomonadati; Pseudomonadota; Gammaproteobacteria; Enterobacterales; Enterobacteriaceae. RNAcentral also lists the same sequence under 1 other name. The record is from RNAcentral.